AUUGAACGCUGGCGGCAGGCUUAACACAUGCAAGUCGAGCGGGGUGAUGGUGCUUGCACUAUCACUUAGCGGCGGACGGGUGAGUAAUGCUUAGGAAUCUGCCUAUUAGUGGGGGACGACAUCUCGAAAGGGAUGCUAAUACCGCAUACGUCCUACGGGAGAAAGCAGGGGAUCACUUGUGACCUUGCGCUAAUAGAUGAGCCUAAUUCGGAUUAGCUAGUUGGUGGGGUAAAGGCCUACCAAGGCGACGAUCUGUAGAGGGUCUGAGAGGAUGAUCCGCCACACUGGGACUGAGACACGGCCCAGACUCCUACGGGAGGCAGCAGUGGGGAAUAUUGGACAAUGGGGGGAACCCUGAUCCAGCCAUGCCGCGUGUGUGAAGAAGGCCUUAUGGUUGUAAAGCACUUUAAGCGAGGAGGAGGCUCUUUUGGUUAAUACCCAAGAUGAGUGGACGUUACCCGCAGAAUAAGCACCGGCUAACUCUGUGCAGCCGCCGCAGUAA
RNAcentral lists this ribosomal RNA (502 nucleotides) under uncultured bacterium. RNAcentral describes it as "partial 16S ribosomal RNA". It matches the Rfam family "Bacterial small subunit ribosomal RNA", at positions 30 to 523 of the family's 1533-position model. The record is from RNAcentral.